This is a long non-coding RNA of Malurus melanocephalus (red-backed fairy wren), 353 nucleotides long. RefSeq lists it as uncharacterized. The record is from RefSeq and is a predicted model, not a curated record. Lineage: Eukaryota; Metazoa; Chordata; Aves; Passeriformes; Maluridae. The transcript is spliced from 3 exons.
CGCACCUGAGGAAAGGCAGAGUUCCGGUGUGAGUGCACCACAGGGCAGGGAAACUGCUACAAGUAACAGAGCUGAACAAGGAUAAAUCUGGAAGACGAGCUGGAUAAACAAGAGAGGAGGGAAGCUACCAGAGGAAUCAAGCUGACGAAGGAAUAGCAGAAGAAUAGAGGCCAGAGAAGCAAUAAAAAACAGGCAACCGCACUGCAACAUGGACUGCAGACACGGAAGAGAUGUCAUGACUGGGCCAAGUUCGUCACUGGCCACGGCACAGAAACCACCUUUAACUGCCAGGCUCAGAGAACCCAUGCUUGAGGCAACUGCCAUCUCCAGAUCAUACCAACCUCCAUCCUCUU